UGUUAAUGGCUUGCCUCUUGAUGGAAUAAGAAAAUGUCACCCAGGUAGAUUCCUAUAGCUGAGCCUGGGCACCUGAGCAUGAAGAGGCUGGGCUCCACACUCGACGAGAAUGCUGAACCCGGUGCUGCGACUGGAUAGUCUCUCAACAGGACACUGGCCAAAACAGUAGGAGCCAACUGGCACGGGAGCCUGAGAAAUGCAGUUUGUACGGGAAGGUCAGGGAGCAGCAGGACCAGGCUUCACUCAGCACACCAAGAGUUUGGAGAAUCGGUUAUGUUCACUGUGUACAAGCUAGAUACCCAACUCCGGAUCCCUAAAGCAUUUACAGGUUUACCUCUGUGACCAAAGGACUCUGCAGAUGUCAUUGUUGAGAUGGGGAAGUCAUGCUGUAUUCCUUGUUCAGAUUGGCCUACAGAAUAACGGCGCUCCUUACAAGAGGGGCUGAGGCGUAGUCAGAGACAAGAGGAUGGCGAGAUUCCCAAAGCAGAGGCCAGAAUGGUGCGCUCUAAAGAUAAGAAGGAGCCACAAGCCAGGAUCACAGACAGCCUCACCAACUGGAGAAGAAACGCAUAAUUCUCCAGAACUUGAGAAGGGGCUGGCCUUGCAACAGCUUGGCUUUAGACAGCUGAAAACAGUCUUAACACUUUGAGUUUCCAGGACUGUAAGAGGGUAAAAGUGGGCUGCGUUAUGCCAGGGAGUCUGUGGAGAUUUGUCACAGUAACAAUGGAGAACUGGUACAGUGUAUCAGACUGAAUGAGCCUGAGGAAUAAAUUAUGCUGAGUUCAUUUGCAUUCUUUCCCGGAUACACAAAAGGCAGGUUGUCCUACAGCCUCCUGCAGAUGGGGUUGCCAGGGAUGUGCAGGCAUGGUGCUGGGUUACUAACUCCUUACCUAACUCCUUACCUCCGGGAUCCACACAGGUGCACCCAACACCACAGCCUUGCUUCUGAGACGCUCCUAGUGCUUACAUCCAAGACCAUCGGAAAAUCUUUCCUUCUUUUUCUCCUCUUCUUUCCCACCUCUUCUUUCUCUCUCUCUCUCUCUCCUUUCUCCCCUCCUCCUCUCCCCCCUCCGUUUCUCCUUUCUCCCUCCUUUUUCUCCCCCUUCUUCCCUCCUCUCCCCCAUUUCAAGCCCCUUGUCUCUCUUCCUUCCAUGCAGGAGACCUCCCAGCCUGUGAAGCCUCACCCUCCUCCUGGGCCUCAAGCCUUCAGCCAGAAAGGUCAGUGUUUAUUUAUCUUGUGUGUAGGCUGUCUUCCUGAGGUAACCCACAGCUUGUCUGAAGGAAUGUGAGAGUGGGGGUGAGAGCCAGGUAGGAGAGGUUCCCUGGUAAAGCUGUAGUCUCCAGGAAGAACGCUGUUGUUUGUGUGAAGACCUAGCUGCCUGUGGAUUAUUUACACUCAAGAAAUAAAUGCUGGGGCUGGAGAGAUGGCUCAGUGGUUAAGAGCACGGACUGCUUUUCCAGAGGUCCUGAGUUCAAAUCCCAGCAAUCACAUGAUGGCUCACAACCAAUGGGAACUGAUGCCCUUUUCUGGUGUGUCUGAAGAUAGCUACAGUGUACGUAUAUAUAAUAAAGGAAGGGUUUGGGGGGUUAUUGACCAAAUAGGAAGGGUUUGGGGGGUACUGACCAAAACCAGUGGGAAUGGUGACAGUAAGAUUCUGCUAUGGUUUCUGGAGCAGGAUUGCAAAUGCCUGCAACAGAUUGCUCCUUUCCCCAGGGUCCCCAUCAGUGUCUGACUUCGAGGCUCUUACUCUUCCCCAUAGUGUCCCCUGCUUCUCAUGGCUGAGCACUUCCUGGACGCCAUAUUUUGUUCUGGAUGAUUCGUAAACCCCUUGCUUUACAAUUCACUGUACCUCUUUUACAAACCGAGUCACAGGACAGCUGAGGACGCUGACAUCCAGCUCACACCCAUCUGACUGUAAGGUGAAGCCUUGUCCCCUGCCCUUUGAAUUCUAACUUGAUGUCGUUUUUCCAUAACACAUCAUAGAGAGCUGUAUCCCCCCAACAUUAUUUGUAAAGAUUUAGCCCUUAAAAGCAUACCUAGCUUCUACCCACUUGGUGCCAGCAACAAAUCGUGGCGAUCUAAACUGUCUCCAGAUACUGCAAAUGCACCCCGGGGGGGAGAAGAAUCGAAGCCCCCUUCUCACUUAAUAAUUUCGCCUGUGCGUACGUGGUCUGACCUUACCAAGAUUCCUGCCUCCUUACAUCUCAACUUCCUAUAGGCCAGGGUGGGAAAAUCAAUUCUGGGCUGGCGAGAUGGCUCAGCGGGUGAGGGGACUGAAGCCAAGCCUGACGACCUGGCUUCGAUCCCUGGACCCCACAUAGUAGAUUGUUCUUGUUGGUUGCCCUCUGGCUUCCAUUUGAGUGCCACAGCCUGAGUAUCCACACUCAUAGACACAAACGCAAUCCAGCAAUCAGUAAAUAAAUGUAAAAGCAAACAAACAAAAACAACAACAAAAAAACCCACAAUUUAAAAAAAAAGAAAUUUAAGUCUGAAAAUGUGUGUUUAUGUACUCAUUGAUACCAAACAGUCAUCAGUGGAAUUCCUUUUGUGAGCUGUGGCUAAAUAUCCAAAAUGGCAGCUUGUCCACUGGAUCCCCCUCCCUCCACUACAGCAAGACCAUUUAUGACCGCAGUGCUUAACCUUCCUAACACUGUGACCCUUUAAUAGGUUCCUCAUGCGGUGGUGACCCUCAACCAGAAAAGUAUUUUCAUUGUUACCUCAUAACUGUACUUUUUGCUACUGUUACAAGUUGUAAUGUAAAUAUUUUGGAGAUAGAAGUUUGCCAACAGGUUGGUGACCCACAGGUUGGCAACCUCUGAUUUAUGAGAUGGUGCCUCCUGUGGACUUUCUGGAAAAGGAAUUGUUUGGUUGGUUAUCUGGGUGGAUUUUUUUGGGCUAUAUCAACACUAACCUUUGCCUGUUGGUAGCAAUAAAACAAAGAACUUAAUGAUAAAAAGUGGGCAACAACUAUGUAACAGUGCACAGAAAAGGGGGAAUAACCAAUAAAAAAAAUCUGGUUGCUUCUAUGGGUGACAGCUAUGGUUCUGUGGGCUCAGAGGGACUGUGGAGGACACAUCACAGGUUUGGCCUUAUGGGCUGGAAUGCUUGAGUGUCCAUCCACAGCUGCCAUGACUCAAUGGCCCAGGCUGGCCCUCGGGAUUGCUACCUCUGUAGUACCUCAGGUCUGGUGCUCAUGUGACCAACCUCGUCCUUCAGGCCGAGAAGGCCCUCAGUCUGAGAAGCUGGCCUCCAGCAUGCUCAGCCAGAGUUGUUCUGGGUAUCUUUGACUGUGUAAGAAAUUCCCUCAGAGGCUGGAUGGAUGGCUCAGCAGCUAAGAGCACUGACUGCUCUUCCAGAGGUCCUGAGUUCAAUUCCCAGCAUCCACAUGGUGGCUCACAACCAUCUGUAAUGGGAUGCAAUGCCUUUUGAAGAGAGCAAUCGUGUACUCACACUAAAUAAAUAAAUAAAUAAAUAAAUAAAUCUUAAAAAGAAAUUCCCCAGAAGCUUUAGUGACCCAUGUAGCACAUGUUCAUCACGGCACAGUACUGUGGGGCAAGGACCUGACUGAGGCCUGCAAGGUGGUUCUGCCCCGGAACCCCGGUGGGUAUCAUGUGGCCUGAGACUAGGAUUUUAGGCUUUGGCCUUGAUGGGGAGAGUCCACAUCUCACCUCGCUCAGGAUUCCAUGCCUCACAGGCUAAAACCCUAAGACCUUCAGAUCCUUACUCUUUGUUGAUCAGAGACUUGUUCAGUUUGUAGCUCUAUGCAUCCUUAGUAGGGAUGCUCAAGACAUGGCUGUUGGCUUCCCUGGGAUGCAACUCACACUCAGGCUGUCUUGUCACUCUCCUGCAUCUUCUUCACUCUCUGGAAACUCCAUUCAUUGGGAAUGAGCUGAUAAAUCCAUCCAUCACCGGAAGGCGGGCUGCUCUGGGGCAAGGAACAGGAGCCAUUCUCAGAGAUCUCUAAAGGUGGGGGCAUGGCAUAUCUGGGGCAUUGGAAAGAGUCCUUCACUUUCUCAGCAAGCCUGAUGAUUACCUGAACUGAGUGACAGACUGGCCCCACGCUAAGUCAGCUCUCACACGCAGCCCAUCCACAGAGCUCUGCUUGCCCAGGAAGCACAGGCAGAUCUGAUCCCUCCCACGUGUGCUCCUUAGCUCCUCCUCUGAGCCAGGGUCAGAUUGCAGCUGUCACCUUCUCAAUGCUCCCUCUCCCUCUGUCUGUCUUCCUGACCCUCUGUUCCCAGUGUGGUAGCAGCCACGGUCUUUUUUAGUUUUCUUUUUCUUCUUUUUUUUUUUUUUUUAAUAAACCACACUGUCAUCCAUCAUCCAAUGCUUCUCUGCUGAAACCUCUCCACUGCUUGAAUGAUAAAAGUUGGGCUGGGGUGGAAACUGGUUUCUGCUCCUCAUGGUUCUCUCUUCUUCAUGCUCUUCUGCUCUUUCUGCCGUACUGGCCCCCUUCUUCUCUUGACUGCUCCAGGAAUGUUCUCAGUUCCUCAUGGCUUUGGUACUUCCUGUCUCUGCCUCAGUAGGUACCCUGUGGAUAUGAACAUGGCCAACGUGAAGGUUAAUCUUGGCUGUCAACUAGGCGACAUGGCUCUGAGUGGGCUUGGGAGUACAUUUCCAGGAAAGGUUAACCGAGGAGGGAAGACCUUCCCUAAGUGGGCAGCACCCUGUGGAAGAUUCCUAAAUAUAAAGAAGUCGGAGGGAUUUAAAGAUCUGUUUGCCUGCUCACCUGCACUCCAAGUAAAUGCAUCUGCCUUAUUGCUGCUGCUGCUGCUGCUGCUGCUGCUGCUACACUUCACUGGCAUCAGAACCCAGUUUCUUUAGCCUUCAAUGUAAACUAAAAAAAGACCAUCAGCUCAACAGGAACCCACCAGACAUUCAGCACCAGACUGGAACUGUGGCUUGCAGGCCAUGGGCUGAGCAGCAGUAUACAGACGACAUUGUUGGACUGCCUAGCCCACAUCGUAUUAACACAUCUCAUAACCCCCAUUGUAGUGUAUAUUCAUCUUGUGUUUCUGUUCCUCUAGAGGACUCUGAUGAAUUCAGCUCACCACUUUAAGCCUUGGCUUUACUUUGCCAUCAAGCCCUUUCUUGAGAAUCCCAUUUGGAAUUCUGACACCAUCUCCAAGUCCAUUUGAAUUUUUAUUUUCUCCAACGCUCUCAUCACUUUGAAUACACUUUACUUACUGUAAGCCUUCCCUACCUCCAAGACUAGGGAUUCGUAUCUGCUAAUGCUCACUCCCUAGCAUCUAGGAUCUAGAGUUCUUCCUGACACAUGUAGGUACCCAAUAAUUGUUUGAUGAGGGGUUGGGGAUUUAGCUCAGUGGUAGAGCACUUGCCUAGCAAGCACAAGGCCCUGGGUUCAGUCCCCAGCUCCGAAAAAAAAAAGAAAAAAAAAUAAUUGUUUGAUGAACUAAUGCAUGAAUGAGUUCCCCUGCUAAUCUCAGCCACAUACUUACAGUGUCCACAUCCUUCUUUGAUAAGAUGUUGGCUAUCUAAAAAGCCUCAAAGAUAGAAGGCACAUCGCCCAGGAUCUGUAUCCUUUGGUCCUCAGAACUUGUAGCAGUGUCCCAUGAGCCUAAUCUCCUCCCAUCUGUCCUAGCCCUGUCACGGAUACGACAUCCAGGUUAAGAUGUGGAGUCCAAAAUGGCAGCCUCUCCAAGUCACCUGCUAUCAAGGGUCCUUAGAGAUUCUAGGCAUUUCUCUCUUCCCUGAACUUGUCAUGCACCGCAAGGGAGGAAAAUCUCCCAACUCUCAGACCAAACCCUUUCUGUUGGCAGAGAAUGCCAGCUGCUCAGAAAGAGCCCGGCUCACGAGCUUCCAUUCCAACUCAUUCUUCUAGCUCUGUCUUAUUCAUCACCACGAGAGCAAUGACUUCCGGGUCACCGUUCCAGUGCACUCAGAAUCUGGAGACCGAGGAGAAUGCAAAGAAGCAGAGGAGGAAGCUCCUGAGUGCCUGGACUACAGAAUGCCACACCCACCUGGAUCCCAGCUCUACAUCUGCCUCAGCCCUCCUGCCACUGCCCUCCAGCGCUGCCCUUACUGAUAGCCACCAUGCUUCCUCUCUUCUCUCCGGCUUCAUUCCGGCCCAUUACUGCUCUCUACAUGGAAAAUGCACUUAUUUAUUGUCUGUCUAUCCCACUGGAGCAUAAACUACCAGGAGGAGGAGGAGGACUUCACCAACAGGUGUCCCCAUAGCUUUCUGGGAGUGUCUGAGACCCAGGAUGACUUUAGUAAAUGCCUGCUCAGUGAGUGAACACAAAGUUCCUGAUUCCUAAAGAAGGUAACUCCAGCAGUUUACCGUGACUUCCAAUCCAACUUCAGCAUAACACAGAUUUUUUAAGAACUAAUAUUUCCUAGAUCCUUACAAAAUAUUCUUACUACAGAUGGAAAGUUCUUCACAGCACUCACUGGGUAUAGAUACUUGACAAUUUGUCAACAAACUGAACACAUAAACAUGCAUGUGC
Molecule: non-coding RNA, 6468 nt
Organism: Rattus norvegicus (Norway rat)
Lineage: Eukaryota; Metazoa; Chordata; Mammalia; Rodentia; Muridae
Source: RefSeq, a predicted model, not a curated record